This 500-nucleotide ribosomal RNA is filed under the name uncultured bacterium. RNAcentral's name for it is "partial 16S ribosomal RNA". It matches the Rfam family "Bacterial small subunit ribosomal RNA", at positions 30 to 523 of the family's 1533-position model. The record is from RNAcentral.
AUUGAACGCUGGCGGAAUGCUUUACACAUGCAAGUCGAACGGCAGCGCGGACUUCGGUCUGGUGGCGAGUGGCGAACGGGUGAGUAAUGUAUCGGAACGUGCCCAGUCGUGGGGGAUAACGUAGUGAAAAUUACGCUAAUACCGCAUACGAUCUAUGGAUGAAAGCGGGGGAUCGCAAGACCUCGCGCGAUUGGAGGGGCCGAUAACAGAUUAGGUAGUUGGUGGGGUAAAGGCCCACCAAGCCAACGAUCUGUAGCUGGUCUGAGAGGACGACCAGCCACACUGGAACGGAGACACGGUCCAGACUCCUACGGGAGGCAGCAGUGGGGAAUUUUGGACAAUGGGCGAAAGCCUGAUCCAGCCAUUCCGCGUGCAGGAUGAAGGCCCUCGGGUUGUAAACUGCUUUUGUACAGAACGAAAAGGUUUCUACUAAUACUAGGAGCUCAUGACGGUACUGUAAGAAUAAGCACCGGCUAACUACGUGCCAGCCGCCGCCGUAA